CGGCUCAGGGUGAACGCUGGCGGCGUGCCUAAUACAUGCAAGUCGAGCGAACAGAUAAGGAGCUUGCUCCUUUGACGUUAGCGGCGGACGGGUGAGUAACACGUGGAUAACCUACCUAUAAGACUGGGAUAACUUCGGGAAACCGGAGCUAAUACCGGAUAAGAUUUUGAACCGCAUGGUUCAAUAGUGAAAGACGGCCUUGCUGUCACUUAUAGAUGGAUCCGCGCCGUAUUAGCUAGUUGGUAAGGUAACGGCUUACCAAGGCAACGAUACGUAGCCGACCUGAGAGGGUGAUCGGCCACACUGGAACUGAGACACGGUCCAGACUCCUACGGGAGGCAGCAGUAGGGAAUCUUCCGCAAUGGGCGAAAGCCUGACGGAGCAACGCCGCGUGAGUGAUGAAGGUCUUCGGAUCGUAAAACUCUGUUAUCAGGGAAGAACAAACGUGUAAGUAACUGUGCACGUCUUGACGGUACCUGAUCAGAAAGCCACGGCUAACUACGUGCCAGCAGCCGCGGUAAUACGUAGGUGGCAAGCGUUAUCCGGAAUUAUUGGGCGUAAAGCGCGCGUAGGCGGUUUUUUAAGUCUGAUGUGAAAGCCCACGGCUCAACCGUGGAGGGUCAUUGGAAACUGGAAAACUUGAGUGCAGAAGAGGAAAGUGGAAUUCCAUGUGUAGCGGUG
RNAcentral lists this ribosomal RNA (681 nucleotides) under Staphylococcus pasteuri. RNAcentral's name for it is "bacterial SSU rRNA". It matches the Rfam family "Bacterial small subunit ribosomal RNA", at positions 20 to 683 of the family's 1533-position model. The record is from RNAcentral. Lineage: Bacteria; Bacillati; Bacillota; Bacilli; Caryophanales; Staphylococcaceae.